Molecule: unclassified non-coding RNA, 220 nt
Filed under: uncultured Actinomycetes bacterium
Lineage: Bacteria; Bacillati; Actinomycetota; Actinomycetes
Description: uncultured actinobacterium contains 16S-23S intergenic spacer region
Rfam family: Bacterial small subunit ribosomal RNA
Source: RNAcentral
UAGGCUUGACAUGCUAGUUAAAGCGGGUGAAAGCCCGUGUCCGUAAGGGGCUAGCACAGGUGCUGCAUGGCUGUCGUCAGCUCGUGCCGUGAGGUGUUGGCUUAAGUGCCGCAACGAGCGCAACCCCUGCUCUUAGUUGCCAGCGGGUAAUGCCGGGGACUCUAAGAGGACUGCCGGGGACAACUCGGAGGAAGGUGGGGAUGACGUUGAACGGUUGGUU